UUGACUACCUGGUCAGGGGAGAUUACCAUGAUCACGAAGGUGGUUCCAGACGCGAGGCUUAUUCCAUUGCACUCCUGGAUGUUGCGACCUGUGCGAUAUCCCCAAAUGUGGGAAACUCGACUGUUAUAUAUUUGUAGGUAGUGGGGCGGGUGGUUCACGCUUUUUCCGG
Molecule: small nuclear RNA, 169 nt
Filed under: Aotus nancymaae (Ma's night monkey)
Lineage: Eukaryota; Metazoa; Chordata; Mammalia; Primates; Aotidae
Description: U1 spliceosomal RNA (ENSANAG00000010791.1)
Rfam family: U1 spliceosomal RNA
About the family: U1 is a small nuclear RNA (snRNA) component of the spliceosome (involved in pre-mRNA splicing). Its 5' end forms complementary base pairs with the 5' splice junction, thus defining the 5' donor site of an intron.
Source: RNAcentral